UAUCUUACCUGGCGGACGGGUGAGUAACGCGUGAGAAACCUGCCUUUCACAAAGGGAUAGCCUCGGGAAACUGGGAUUAAUACCUUAUGACACUUCAUUACCACAUGGUAAAGAAGUCAAAGCGUAAAGCGGUGAAAGAUGGUCUCGCGUCCCAUUAGUUAGUUGGUGAGGUAACGGCUCACCAAGACUGCGAUGGGUAGCCGGCCUGAGAGGGUGAACGGCCACACUGGAACUGAGACACGGUCCAGACUCCUACGGGAGGCAGCAGUGGGGAAUAUUGCACAAUGGAGGAAACUCUGAUGCAGCGACGCCGCGUGAAUGAUGAAGGCCUUCGGGUCGUAAAAUUCUGUCCUAGGGGAAGAUAAUGACGGUACCCUAGGAGGAAGCCCCGGCUAACUACGUGCCAGCAGCCGCGGUAAUACGUAGGGGGCGAGCGUUGUCCGGAAUUAUUGGGCGUAAAGAGUUCGUAGGCGGUUUUUUAAGUCAGAUGUGAAAGGCUACAGCUUAACUGUGGUAAGCAUUUGAAACUGGAAGACUUGAGUUAAGGAGAGGAAAGUGGAAUUCCUAGUGUAGCGGUGAAAUGCGUAGAUAUUAGGAGGAAUACCAGUGGCGAAGGCGACUUUCUGGACUUAUACUGACGCUGA
Molecule: ribosomal RNA, 644 nt
Filed under: sulfate-reducing bacterium enrichment culture clone 1-0-otu2-5
Lineage: Bacteria
Description: bacterial SSU rRNA
Rfam family: Bacterial small subunit ribosomal RNA
Source: RNAcentral